This is a long non-coding RNA of Mobula hypostoma (lesser devil ray), 311 nucleotides long. RefSeq lists it as uncharacterized. Lineage: Eukaryota; Metazoa; Chordata; Chondrichthyes; Myliobatiformes; Myliobatidae. The record is from RefSeq and is a predicted model, not a curated record. The transcript is spliced from 3 exons.
AGAUGCCAAUGAAGGAUUCAAGAGUGACAUUUACUAUUGGAACAAGUUGAUUAUCUGAAGAUAUACUCAACUGCUUCAUGAAUGCUAGCAGCUACAAUUAUUUCAUCCUUAAUUACAGCAAUAUGCAGUUGGAAAACUUCUGAAAUGCCAGCUUCGCUGCCGCUGCUACUGUGUGGUAACCGGAAUCUCUGGAGCAGAAGGCCCCGAAAUCCUCGGCUUUGCGUGUUUCAGCGGCCCGGGCGAGGUCGAAGGCGCUUAGCAGAGGAUGGCCGUCGGGAGGCUGUAUCGGAGAGGUUGGUCGGAAGCUCGAA